UUUUAAAUUUAGAGUUUGAUCCUGGCUCAGGACGAACGCUGGCGGCGUGCUUAACACAUGCAAGUCGAGCGAUGAAGCUUCCUUCGGGAGGUGGAUUAGCGGCGGACGGGUGAGUAACACGUGGGUAACCUGCCUCAAAGUGGGGGAUAGCCUUCCGAAAGGAAGAUUAAUACCGCAUAAUAUAAGAGAAUCGCAUGAUUUUUUUAUCAAAGAUUUAUUGCUUUGAGAUGGACCCGCGGCGCAUUAGCUAGUUGGUAAGGUAACGGCUUACCAAGGCAACGAUGCGUAGCCGACCUGAGAGGGUGAUCGGCCACAUUGGAACUGAGACACGGUCCAGACUCCUACGGGAGGCAGCAGUGGGGAAUAUUGCGCAAUGGGGGAAACCCUGACGCAGCAACGCCGCGUGGGUGAUGAAGGUCUUCGGAUUGUAAAGCCCUGUUUUCUAGGACGAUAAUGACGGUACUAGAGGAGGAAGCCACGGCUAACUACGUGCCAGCAGCCGCGGUAAUACGUAGGUGGCGAGCGUUGUCCGGAUUUACUGGGCGUAAAGGGUGCGUAGGCGGAUGUUUAAGUGGGAUGUGAAAUCCCCGGGCUUAACCUGGGGGCUGCAUUCCAAACUGGAUAUCUAGAGUGCAGGAGAGGAAAGCGGAAUUCCUAGUGUAGCGGUGAAAUGCGUAGAGAUUAGGAAGAACACCAGUGGCGAAGGCGGCUUUCUGGACUGUAACUGACGCUGAGGCACGAAAGCGUGGGUAGCAAACAGGAUUAGAUACCCUGGUAGUCCACGCCGUAAACGAUGGAUACUAGGUGUAGGGGGUAUCAACUCCCCCUGUGCCGUAGUUAACACAAUAAGUAUCCCGCCUGGGGAGUACGGUCGCAAGAUUAAAACUCAAAGGAAUUGACGGGGGCCCGCACAAGCAGCGGAGCAUGUGGUUUAAUUCGAAGCAACGCGAAGAACCUUACCUGGACUUGACAUCCCUUGCAUAGCCUAGAGAUAGGUGAAGCCCUUCGGGGCAAGGAGACAGGUGGUGCAUGGUUGUCGUCAGCUCGUGUCGUGAGAUGUUAGGUUAAGUCCUGCAACGAGCGCAACCCUUGUUAUUAGUUGCUACCAUUAAGUUGAGCACUCUAAUGAGACUGCCUGGGUAACCAGGAGGAAGGUGGGGAUGACGUCAAAUCAUCAUGCCCCUUAUGUCCAGGGCUACACACGUGCUACAAUGGUAGGUACAAUAAGACGCAAGACCGUGAGGUGGAGCAAAACUUAUAAAACCUAUCUCAGUUCGGAUUGUAGGCUGCAACUCGCCUACAUGAAGCUGGAGUUGCUAGUAAUCGCGAAUCAGAAUGUCGCGGUGAAUACGUUCCCGGGCCUUGUACACACCGCCCGUCACACCAUGAGAGCUGGUAACACCCGAAGUCCGUGAGGUAACCGUAAGGAACCAGCGGCCGAAGGUGGGAUUAGUGAUUGGGGUGAAGUCGUAACAAGGUAGCCGUAGGAGAACCUGCGGCUGGAUCACCUCCUUUCUA
Molecule: ribosomal RNA, 1518 nt
Filed under: Clostridium botulinum
Lineage: Bacteria; Bacillati; Bacillota; Clostridia; Eubacteriales; Clostridiaceae
Description: bacterial SSU rRNA
Rfam family: Bacterial small subunit ribosomal RNA
Source: RNAcentral